Long non-coding RNA from Lynx canadensis (Canada lynx), 3125 nucleotides. RefSeq lists it as uncharacterized. The transcript is spliced from 4 exons. The record is from RefSeq and is a predicted model, not a curated record. NCBI's taxonomy places the organism in Eukaryota, Metazoa, Chordata, Mammalia, Carnivora, Felidae.
GCGGGCCAGGCGCCCGGCCUCAGAGCUCGGUUCCCGCGCGGCCCAGGGCCCUCCAGGACGCACUGCGCCUCUCCCCACGCCACAGCCACGCUUUGCCUUCAGGGCUGCGGGAGAAGAAUUAAUCCCCUCGGCCAUUACCGCCCCCCAAAUGCGUCCGGCCUUCUACUCACUCCUUCUUCCCUGUCGGCGGGACGACGCCGGGAGAUGGACAAUCGCGUGUCGCUGAGGGGUUCUGGGUGUUGCUGCGGGAGAGGGCUGGGGGGUGAUGCGCGCGCGCGCGUGUGUCUGUAUGUGUGCAUUCAAGGGAAGGAAGACCGCAAAGGUGUCCACACCUGCCUGUCUUGGAUCCUACCAGCCCCUCCUCCCCCGGCGAAGAGAAGACUGCUUCCCCUGGAACCUCUUCCCUAACCCCCCCACUGCUUUCACCGCCAGCGGCGACCUUUGAAUUGCCCUGUUAUUGUUUACAAACACCUUCGCCAGCUCUUUUAGGGCCUGUCUCCACAGGAAGUGUGAAUCUGAGUUGAAAAUCUUCUGGUUAAUUUGAUCCACCUAACCAACUGAAUCACCCGCCGCCAGGCGCUCUGUCCAACUCUUCCGGAAAAAGGUAAUGAUUCUUCUCAGGUGACAGCAUGGCUGGCUGGGUCUGGAAUCCUGCCCAGGAAAGAUGCAGAGGUGACCCAAUUCUCAGAUGACCGUGGGUCAGGAACAUGGAUGCAGGUGGCUGGAUCCCCCACUCAGCCUCCAUCACAAGACCGCUAUGGUUAUGCUAUCCUCUGAAGACUCAGUGGCAAGGACCGGCUUCAAGCCCACAGCAUUGUUGACAGCCUUCAGUGUCUUGCAAUCUGCUGACUGACCUCAGUUCCUCGCCAGGCUGUUGGCCAAGGUCUGCCCUCCAUUUCCUGGCACUCCAGCUCCUCGUAGAGCAUCUCACCACGCGGCAGCUGACCUCAUCAUAGUGAAUAAACAAGAACGACAAAGAGACUGUGACCAAGAUGGAAGUUACUGUCUUUUGUAAACUAAUGUUGAAUUUGAUGUCCCAUCACUUUGACUGUAUUCUAGUCAUUAGAAGCAAGUUAUUAGGUCCAGUGCCUACUGAAGGGAAGGGGAUUACACAAGAAUAUGAGCACCAGGAAAUGGGAACACGGGAGCCAUUUUAGAAACUGCCAACCACAUUUGACUUUCAAUUAGUGUUUGUUGAAUGGAUGGAUGGGUGAAUUUGGAUACAUGGAGAGAGGGAGAAUAGAGACAGGUAGGGGAAUACUGCUGUUAAGAAAUUGUUUCCUCAGUAUGCUGGAAAGCCAAGGGACAUGGGCAUCAAAAGGCUUGCCUCUUUCCACUUGUCACAUGCUUUAUUUUCAAGAUUGGUUAACUUCUACUCUGAUUCCAGCCUCCUCAUUCACCCACAAAUGCACAUGGGCAUGAGACAUACAGACAGGAAGACAAUUCAGUCUUCAGAGAGGUGAAGACGUUGGCAAGCUUACACACUGGGCUCAGAGGUUUGUAAGUUGCUUUCAGAGGAAAGGCUGGGGAAUUUGUUAAUUCGGGGAAAAGCACAUUUUUUCCCACUUGCACAACUCAAAUAAGGCUGAACACUCCCAUGCUGGAAUUUUCCAAACCAUUUCCAUUUCUCAGAUGGAGAGGAGGAAAUUUGGACAAAGCAAAGGCUUGUUUUUGAGGGAGAAAUGAGUUAUAUCUGUGGCAUACCUUUUGUGUGCUCAGCAUGAUCUUGCAUCUCAGGCCUAGAGAAGAAGUAAAGACACAAGAGGAACACCCAAGGUGGCUGCAGGGACCAAGCUAGCCUUAGGGAGAUGACAGUGAGACAAAGGGACAGCAUUGCCUCAAUGUGGUGUGCUGCUGGAGAUCAAGAAGAGGGGAUUCAUAGGGCUGACACAGGAAGGGAGAGCUUCUGGAAAUAGGUUGGUUAGAGCUUCACCUUUGAGUAUGAAAAGUGUUUGAAUAGGAGGGCAUUCUAGGCAAGGAGCAGCAUAGGAAAAAGGCUCAGAAGUGGGAAUUGGUGUGGUAUGACCAUGGGCAGAUAAAUAGGGCUGAAUAAAUGGAAGGUGUAUGUACAUGGUGACAACUAAGAAAAUGAUGAGAGUCUGAGGGGCAGGAGCUUCCUGAGUUUAGGAGGUGGGGUUAGUGAGAGUAGUCUUGGAAGGGAAAUGAGGAAAGUACUAAAGUUCGGGGGGUAGUUGGCUCAUCACUGGACCCAGGGCUGAAUAGCCCCCAGGAACAAUCUGUGGUGGGGCCGUCAUCACGCCUUCCUCAUGUCAGAGCUGCUGAGGAACACAAGUGGGUCUUGGUGACAGCUGCCAGGGGAUCAACAAAGUUCACCUGGAUUCUUUGUGGUCUGCUCUCAGGGAAAAAAUCCACCACAGAGAGAUAAGUCAGAGCCCCUGCGUCCGUAUAUGGUGCACCUUUACCUGCAGAGAAGAGCUCGUCCUUGCUGGGAACAGCCUCCACCUCAGUCUGGACACCAGGGAAAGCCGCAGGUGACACAGCCUCCCUCAGGGUCACACUGAUGCCCCUGCUUUGACUCACCGGAACACCUCAACUCCCCCAGCCUCCGAAUUCAGGGCUCCUGCACCAGCCUGCCUCUAUCCCCUCUGGAUGCCUAUAGGAGUUCCAUCUUCUCCGUUCCCUUCUGCCAGCCUCGAUGGGUGCCAGACUGCCUCUGUGUGAGACCCUGGCUGGGAAGGGCAGGCAGGACUGGGCUUUUCUCUCCUCCAUAUCCACUCCCAGCCCCAACAGGCACCAGGAAAAAGGGUUGUUGGUGGUGUUUCAGAGGCUCCAUGACCCCAUAAAAUAUGCUUCAUUUUUCUCAGAAAAUGAGCCAUUUUUUCCCUCUUAUGUUUUCAUAUGGUGCCCAGAAGUCCCUGGAUUUCCUGGAAUUUAUAUGAAGAAUUCCAGCUAUUCCAGCUGUAGUUUUCACACACAGAGCUCCUGCCAACAGACUUUGGCCAUCUGGGGGCAGCCUGUGGCGGUGGAGUGAGCUCUGCUCUUGAGCUCUAGCCACCUGGCAAGGGCUUCUCUGCUGACCCCCUACCAUGCUUGUGGAUAUCAAAACAAAUAAUUUUAUUGAGUUAUCAUUGGCAUAUAAUAAACCACACUGAACAAUGUGUUAA